Molecule: ribosomal RNA, 691 nt
Filed under: cf. Phormidesmis sp. LEGE 11477
Lineage: Bacteria; Bacillati; Cyanobacteriota; Cyanophyceae; Leptolyngbyales; Leptolyngbyaceae
Description: Bacterial large subunit ribosomal RNA
Rfam family: Bacterial large subunit ribosomal RNA
Source: Rfam by way of RNAcentral
AAGAAAGUAGUUAAGGGCGUAUGGAGGAUGCCUUGGCUCUCAGAGACGAUGAAGGACGUGCUAAGCUGCGAUAAGCUACGGGAAGUUGCACAGAAACUGUAAUCCGUAGAUUUCCGAAUGGGGCAACCCGGCUAGUUGAAGACUAGUCAUCCGAAAGGAAGUGAACCCGGAGAACUGAAACAUCUAAGUACCCGGAGGAAGAGAAAACAAUAGUGAUUCCGCAAGUAGUGGCGAGCGAACGCGGAUUAGCCCAAACCUUGAUCGUUACGGCGGUUGAGGGGUUGUAGGACUGCAAUGUGGACUAUACAAUGAAUUAGAAUGACUUGGGAAAGUCAACCAUAGAAGGUGAAAGUCCUGUAUAAGUAAAGUUGUAUUACCUAGCAGUAUCCUGAGUAAGGCGGGACCGGAGAAAUCCCGUCUGAAUCUACCGGCACCAUCCGGUAAGGCUAAAUACUCCUGAGAGACCGAUAGUGAACUAGUACCGUGAGGGAAAGGUGAAAAGUACCCUGAAUAAGGGGGUGAAAUAGUACCUGAAACCAUACGCUUACAAGCGGUCGGAGCCCAUUAGUUGGGUGACGGCGUGCCUUUUGCAUAAUGAGCCUACGAGUUAGUGUUGUUGGCAAGGUUAAUACAUUAAGUGUUGAAGCCGAAGCGAAAGCGAGUCUUAACAGGGCGAUCAGUCAGCAGUACU